GAACGCACCUUGCGCCCUUUGGCUAUUCCGAAGGGCAUGCCUGUUUGAGUAUCAUGAACUCCUCAACUCUCAUGGUUUGCCAUGAUGAGCUUGGACUUUGGGGGUCUUGCUGGCCUAUGGUCGGCUCCUCUCAAACAGAUCAGCUUGCCAGUGUUUGGUGGCACCACGGGUGUGAUAACUAUCUACGCUUGUGGUUUUCCACCAGAUAACCUUCAGCGAUGGAGGUUCACUGGAGCUCAUAAAUGUCUCUCCUCAGCGAAGACAGCUCUUUGAACGUUUGAUCUCAAAUCAGGUAGGACUACCCGCUGAACUUAAG
RNAcentral lists this unclassified non-coding RNA (316 nucleotides) under uncultured Thelephoraceae. Its description in RNAcentral is "sequence contains 5.8S rRNA gene". The record is from RNAcentral. Lineage: Eukaryota; Fungi; Basidiomycota; Agaricomycetes; Thelephorales; Thelephoraceae.